UAGGGAAUCUUCGGCAAUGGGGGGAACCCUGACCGAGCAACGCCGCGUGAGUGAAGAAGGUUUUCGGAUCGUAAAGCUCUGUUGUUAAGGAAGAACGAGUGUGAGAAUGGAAAGUUCAUACUGUGACGGUACUUAACCAGAAAGGGACGGCUAACUACGUGCCAGCAGCCGCGGUAAUACGUAGGUCCCGAGCGUUGUCCGGAUUUAUUGGGCGUAAAGCGAGCGCAGGCGGUUAGAUAAGUCUGAAGUUAAAGGCAGUGGCUCAACCAUUGUAGGCUUUGGAAACUGUUUAACUGGAGUGCAGAAGGGGAGAGUGGAAUUCCAUGUGUAACGGUGAAAUGCGUAGAUAUAUGGAGGAACACCGGUGGCGAAAGCGGCUCUCUGGUCUGUAACUGACGCUGAGGCUCGAAAGCGUGGGGAGCGAACAGG
RNAcentral lists this ribosomal RNA (429 nucleotides) under Bacteroidota bacterium. Its description in RNAcentral is "Bacteroidetes bacterium partial 16S ribosomal RNA". It matches the Rfam family "Bacterial small subunit ribosomal RNA", at positions 355 to 776 of the family's 1533-position model. The record is from RNAcentral. Lineage: Bacteria; Pseudomonadati; Bacteroidota.